UACGGGGGAUGCAAGCGUUAUCCGGAUUUAUUGGGUUUAAAGGGUGCGUAGGCUGUGAGGUAAGUCAGCGGUGAAAUGCCCCCGCUCAACGGGGUGAAGUGCCAUUGAUACUGCCUUGCUGGAAUGCGGAUGCCGUGGGAGGAAUGUGUGGUGUAGCGGUGAAAUGCAUAGAUAUCACACAGAACACCGAUUGCGAAGGCAUCUCACGAAUCCGCGAUUGACGCUGAGGCUCGAAAGUGUGGGUAUCAAACAGG
Molecule: ribosomal RNA, 254 nt
Filed under: uncultured bacterium
Lineage: Bacteria
Description: partial 16S ribosomal RNA
Rfam family: Bacterial small subunit ribosomal RNA
Source: RNAcentral